GAUGACGCCUGCAGAGGUGCGCGAGGCUGGGUGUCCAUCUCACUCACCCAGCCUGAAAAUGUCUAUGUGAAGAAGCGUAAGCAAAACAGACACUUGUGCUAAUCACUGUUCAGAGCUUGGCUGCUGAGUGUUUUCUGGGAGCUGCAUUGUCAGUUGAGGGCUGCCCGCUGCGUGGGGUGGAUUCCCCAGCCCUCACAGGAUAAUUUUAUCACAGAGGACAACAUUUGUAGUUCUGCAUGAGUGGCUCUCCUGGCGAGAUAAAGAAGAGACAGUGAGCUGAGGCUGAGGCUGAGAAGGCUGGCAUAUGUGAUGUCUUCGGGGAUCGGAAGCUGUAAAGAAAGCUUUUAUGGUUCCCUGACUGAGGAUAAUCAACCCCUUCAUAAUUUAGAAUCCAAAGAUUGGAUCUUCUGAGAACAUCAGAGAAAGACUGCCCUUGCCAUCCACACUGCAACAAAACUUCAGAACCUUGAACCUUGGGUUCAUAAUCUCACAACAAAGAAGGGUCCCUCCAUGUUCUUGGAGCUGUACACCCAUUGGAACUCUUAAGGUAAAGCUAACCAGGGAAGUUUCUCCCCAGAAGAUGGGAUCCUUAAUGUGAACAGCUUUUCCCAAUAUCACAGAUCAAGAUUUCUCUACUAUCAUGAGACUUUUAUCUUUGAAUAUUUUCCCUUCCUUAUGCCUCUAUAAACACUAGGAGUGAAAAGGGGGUCUGUUGUGUACACUUAUAGGGUAUGAUUUUAUUUGUGAAGGAUUUUGCAGCCAGCGUUAUACAUGGAUAACUUUAUACCUUGAUGGAUGACAGAUGAGGGACCAAUGUAGGUGAGAAACUUUAAUGGUACAUACAUUGCCUCCUAAUCAGUCAGAAAUAAAACAUUAGUUCACUCCUCUUAAUCCACAUCAUAAGUUAAAGAGAAUAUUGCCAGGAGGCCUUCAUUCUUCUAGAAGGGCAUCAUUUGUUAGGUCCUUUUUCCAUGGUUUGGAGUAAAAGAAGCAAUGAUUUAAAAUGUAUCCCUCAUGAUAAACUCUAUAGCAGAUUCUACUGUAAAGGCUAUAGUUAUACAACAGAAUUUAAAUUAUCUUGUGAAAGUUAUGCUAACUAAUCAAAUUGCUCUAGAUUAUUUACUGGCUAAACAGAAGUAUCUGUGCAGCUGCUGGCACUUGUGGCCUGUGGAGAAAUACAUCACAUCAGGUAUUAUAGAGAUUCAGUUGUAGGGGACUAGCCAAGAGGCUGCUUAGUUAAGUAGGUAGACUCUUUAUCUAGCUCAUUCUUUGAUCUAUUUGAUUUUAUAUGGUUUGGUUUAUGGGGACCCUGGGUAAGGCGAAUACUGUAAACUCUUGGUAUUAUCCUCCCAAUAGUCAUAAUAGUAGUCUCCCUGGUGUGCUAUAUUCUCUCAAAGGUUUUAAAUGUUUGCGUGCAGCCAUCUCUAAAGGGUCAAAUGGUCUGUCUUCAACUGGCAUGACAAGAUCUGAAAGAAAAGUGUGAUCAUGAGGACACCACAACCUAUGAAUGACAUGCUGAGACUGGAAACUCAAAAUGAUGGUAACUGAGAGUGCUGCUAAGGUCCUAAAUUUUGGUUACACUCUCACCUAAGAGAACCUGAACAAAAAAGGAAUUUUUUUAAACAAAAUUAUGAGAGGCCAUUGUUUUGGACUGAGCUUAUGCACUAGGCCCCAACAGACCAAACCAAACCAAAACAGAGUCACUAGUGCUAAAUGUGACAUAAUCAAACUAAGACUUUAAGGAAACACAUAGGUCCUAGAAUAGACCAGGUUUUGUUUUUCUCCUGUAAACAGGACGUUCCAGCAUAAGGAGAUACCCUCUCUUCAGUCAGUCCUUGUCCCCACUUUGCAAAACCCACUGUUCUACUGUUUCCCAAUGAGUUUCAAGACCAAAUAAGUAUGUUUACGACGAUGAUAGUGACAUUAAUGACUAAUUUUUUGGCCAAUCUCUCAAAAUUGAGAUGACCAUCAAACAAGGGGAAUUGUUAAAUCAAGUUCAGCCUAAAGCUGCCUCCUUACCUAUUUUAAGUUUGGCCUAAAGGUUUUUCUGUACAUCCUUAAUUAUAACAAGUGGAGGUAUAAACAGACCAUAGCUUACACUUAAGCCAGUCACCGAAUUUUGACCAAUCAAAUGUAGCCAACUGCUUGAACCAUGUUCAAAUAAGGCAAAUGCUGAGCUGUAACUGGUCCAGCUGUUUUCGUUUUCUGUACCUCACUUCUGUUUUCUGUAUGUCACUUUCCUUUGAAUCUUCUUCCACCACAUGGCUGUGCUGGAGUCUCUGAGCCUACCCUGGCUCAGAAGGCUGCCUGACUCACAAAUGGUUCAUUGCUUAAUAAACUCCUUUAAAUGUAAUUUGGCUGAAGUUUUUCUUUUUAUCACUUCAUAAGCCACUAGAGAAAUGCAAAUCAAAACAGCUAGAUCCUACUUUACACCCAUUAAUAUGAGUAUUCCCCAAAACAAAACAAAAAUAAAAACAACCAAAAACCAGAAAACAACAGGCAUUAGUGAGGAUUUGGAGAAAUGAAAACAUUUAUGCACUGUCAGUAGGCAUAUAAGAUGGUAGAGACACAGUGGAUAACACUAUGGCAGCCACCCCCCAAAAAUGGAAAUAUAAAUACCAUAUGAUCUAGCAAUUUUACUUCUGGGUAUACCCAAAAGAAUUGAAAGGAAAGACUCAAUCAAAUAUUUGUACAACCCAUGUUUACAGCAGCAUUAUUAACCAUACCCAAAGGAUGAAAGCAACGCUAGUGUCCAUGGAUGGGUAAAUGGAUAAAUACAAUGAGGCAGACAUAUACAAUGGAAUAUUAUUCAGCCCUAAAAAGGAAGGAAAUUCUGACAUAUGCUCCAACAUGGAUAAACCUUGAAGACAUAAUGUUAAAUAAAGUCAACCUUUCAUAAAAGGACAAAUACUGUAUGAUUCCACUUAUAGGAGGUACCUGGAGUAGUCAAUUUUAUGUUACAUACGUGUUACCACAAUUUUUUAAAAAAGAGCUGCUCUCUUUGAAUUUUUAAAUCUGUAUUUUUAGGUGUUUGAUUUUUUAAAUAAGAUUUUCCCCCAUUUCUCACCUACCCUAGACAUAUGGCCCUAAAGCACCUCAGAAGAAGCUGAAGGAAAUCAGCCUCCAUAGCUUUCAAGCCCCUGGACUCCUGGAGCCAGAAGUUAAUUCACACUCUGAUCUCAGAGAAGUUCAAGACCUUCAGCAGAACUUUUCCUGGCCAGGGCAUUUUUGCCCCUGAGAUAUGUCAUUAAACACUGUAACCAGGAACUUCUGUUCUUACCCCUGUCCUUCCCUUCACCUUUUAUAGUUACUAAAUGCAAUGUUUUAUUUUUCCAAGUACAAAACAAUAAAAUAGUUAUAAAGAAA
Molecule: long non-coding RNA, 3366 nt
Filed under: Homo sapiens (human)
Lineage: Eukaryota; Metazoa; Chordata; Mammalia; Primates; Hominidae
Description: HSALNT0301512
Source: RNAcentral